RNAcentral lists this ribosomal RNA (425 nucleotides) under Cortinarius spilomeus. RNAcentral's name for it is "eukaryotic LSU rRNA". The stretch from base 64 to 217 matches the Rfam family "5.8S ribosomal RNA". Lineage: Eukaryota; Fungi; Basidiomycota; Agaricomycetes; Agaricales; Cortinariaceae. The record is from RNAcentral.
UCAUAUACCCCAAUGUAUGUUAUAGAAUGUAAUUAAUGGGCCUUUGUGCCUAUAAACCUAUACAACUUUCAGCAACGGAUCUCUUGGCUCUCGCAUCGAUGAAGAACGCAGCGAAAUGCGAUAAGUAAUGUGAAUUGCAGAAUUCAGUGAAUCAUCGAAUCUUUGAACGCACCUGGCGCUCCUUGGUAUUCCGAGGAGCAUGCCUGUUUGAGUGUCAUUAAUAUAUCAACCUCUUUUAGCUUUUGCUAGUUGAGUGUUGGAUGUGGGGGAUUUUUUUGCUGGCCUCUUUUCAAAUGAAGUCAGCUCCCCUAAAAUGCAUUAGCGGAACAUUUGCUGACCGUCUCAUUGGUGUGAUAACUAUCUACGCUAUUGACGUGAGGCAGUUCAGCUUCUAACAGUCCAUUGACUUGGACAAUUUCAUUAAU